RNAcentral lists this ribosomal RNA (707 nucleotides) under uncultured marine eukaryote. RNAcentral describes it as "SSU rRNA". It matches the Rfam family "Eukaryotic small subunit ribosomal RNA", at positions 618 to 1331 of the family's 1831-position model. The record is from RNAcentral.
GUUAAAACGCUCGUAGUCGGAUUUCGGGGCGGGUCUACCGGUUUGCCGAUGGGUAUAUACUGGCGGGCGCGUCCUUCCUUCCGGAGACCGCGCCUCCUCUUAACUGAGCGGGCGUGGGAGACGGAUCGUUUACUUUGAAAAAAUCAGAGUGUUUCAAGCAGGCAUGUCGCUCUUGCAUGGAUUAGCAUGGGAUAAUGAAAUAGGACUUUGGUGCUAUUUUGUUGGUUUCGAGCACCGAAGUAAUGAUUAACAGGGACAGUCAGGGGCACUCGUAUUCCGCAGAGAGAGGUGAAAUUCUUAGACCCGCGGAAGACGAACCACUGCGAAAGCAUUUGCCAGGGAUGUUUUCACUGAUCAAGAACGAAAGUUAGGGGAUCGAAGACGAUCAGAUACCGUCGUAGUCUUAACCAUAAACGAUGCCAACUAGGGAUUCCGAGAUGUUGUUUUUGACUCUCGGAGCACCUUACGGGAAACUAAAGUCUUUGGGUUCCGGGGGGAGUAUGGUCGCAAGGCUGAAACUUAAAGGAAUUGACGGAAGGGCACCACCAGGAGUGGAGCCUGCGGCUUAAUUUGACUCAACACGGGGAAACUUACCAGGUCCAGACAUUGUGAGGAUUGACAGAUUGAGAGCUCUUUCUUGAUUCGAUGGGUGGUGGUGCAUGGCCGUCCUUAGUUGGUGGAGUGAUUUGUCUGGUUAAUUCCGUUAA